This 351-nucleotide unclassified non-coding RNA is filed under the name soil metagenome. RNAcentral's name for it is "partial contains 5.8S ribosomal RNA, internal transcribed spacer 2, and large subunit ribosomal RNA". The stretch from base 1 to 120 matches the Rfam family "5.8S ribosomal RNA", at positions 35 to 154 of the family's 154-position model. The record is from RNAcentral.
GAUGAAGAACGUAGCGAAAUGCGAUAAGUAAUGUGAAUUGCAGAAUUCAGUGAAUCAUCGAAUCUUUGAACGCACAUUGCGCCCUCGAGUAUUCUCGCGGGCAUGCCUGUCCGAGCGUCAUUUCAACCCUCAGGGCCCGCCUGCUUGCAGGCGCGGCGCUGGUGUUGGGGAUCGGCUACCCUGCCGUCCCCCAAAUACAGUGGCGGUCUCGCUGCAACCUCCCCUGCGUAGUAGCAACACUCGCAUGCGGAGCGCGGCGCGGCCACGCCGUAAAACCCCCGACUUUCUGAACGUUGACCUCGGAUCAGGUAGGAAUACCCGCUGAACUUAAGCAUAUCAAUAAGCGGAGGA